ACAGACAAUAGAGAGCAGCCCUUGGGAAAACAGUGAAAGCGAGGCUAUUAACUUUUCACAGUUGAAACCUCUUAGAUAUGGCAGGUUCUGAGAGCUCCAAGGCUGAAACCACUGGUGUUUGUCAAAAAGAAGGGUCCUACAUUAAUAAAAUUCUGCUCACUCUUGAACUGUCAUAUCGGAAUUAACAGAUGGGAGAGAAAUUCCCACAUACCAUAUAAGGAGUCAAAAUUGACCAUGCUUCUUCAAUAUUUCUUAAGUGGUCAUAGAAGAGUAUUCAAGAUGGUCAAGUCAAGCUACAGUCAAGACCGGAGGAAGAAGAAGAAGUUAAAGCUGCUUUGUUAAGCCAAAUACAGAGAUUGACAAAGAGGACAUUCCUUUGGGGAAGAAGAGGGGAUUUUGUUUCUCAAGUAAAUUGUGAUGAGAAGGAUAUUGAAAUCUGAAGACGAUUUUGCUAUGCUAUAUGGAUGGAGUUGUACAUGAUACAACGAAUUCAAGAUGUGGUAGAGAGAUAAGGAUACAAAAGCAUAACACAUCAUCAAGUAGUUCUCUAAUACCAACAAAUCGUUGUGCCAAACUGCAGGUUGAAGUUGCGGUCUCAGGCUGAUUAAUACCACUUAGAUGUUUCUUGUAAUUUACUCUCUGAUUAUUUAAGGGUCAAUUUGAUACACUAGAUAAGAUGGAUAUUUGCUAUUAAUGUUUGUGCAUGAUAAAAUAACAAUAUUGUUA
Long non-coding RNA from Cynara cardunculus var. scolymus (artichoke), 726 nucleotides. RefSeq lists it as uncharacterized. Lineage: Eukaryota; Viridiplantae; Streptophyta; Magnoliopsida; Asterales; Asteraceae. The transcript is spliced from 5 exons. The record is from RefSeq and is a predicted model, not a curated record.